Molecule: non-coding RNA, 108 nt
Organism: Trichodelitschia bisporula
Lineage: Eukaryota; Fungi; Ascomycota; Dothideomycetes; Phaeotrichales; Phaeotrichaceae
Source: the annotation of a GenBank genome assembly
GGCCGUGUGGCGUAAUGGCAACGCGUCUGACUACGAUUAUUCAUCCCAUCUAGCUUGGGUUGAGUACAUGUGAUCAGGAGAUUGCAGGUUCGACCCCUGCCUCGGUCA